GCUGGGCUUGGUAGCACGAGCCUGUAACCCAAGUGGGAGCAUUAAGAUGGUGGAAUGGUUGGCCAUUCCCUGAAGGUUGGGCCUUGGUUGCUAUCUACUGGCUUGCCCGUUCCAAGUGGUGAGUUGUGCCGUGGAUACUUUGCGAAGGCAGAGACUUCUCGGUUCUUAGAUUGGAGGGUAUUGCGUGAGGCUGGCUUCAUAGAGCAGCGAAAACCUCCUCCUCACUCUACAGUGGAAGGAUAACGGGCCGGUGCAUCCUCUACCCACUAGCGCCUGACGGGUCGUUCAAAUUAAACCACCAUCUUU
Molecule: signal recognition particle RNA, 306 nt
Filed under: Ipomoea nil (Japanese morning glory)
Lineage: Eukaryota; Viridiplantae; Streptophyta; Magnoliopsida; Solanales; Convolvulaceae
Description: Plant signal recognition particle RNA
Rfam family: Plant signal recognition particle RNA
Source: Rfam by way of RNAcentral